GGUCACGAGCGCCAGCGUCAAGCCCCGGCUUGCUGGCCGGCAACCCUUCUCCAUGUAGGGGUGCCCCGGGUGAGGACCAGGCCGCGCAGUCCGCCGUGAGGGCGGGACUGCGGCAAGACGUGGAC
This 125-nucleotide non-coding RNA is filed under the name Conexibacter woesei. Its description in RNAcentral is "SAM-IV sequence". It matches the Rfam family "SAM (S-adenosyl methionine) riboswitch aptamer". Rfam says of the family: SAM-IV is a mRNA element that regulates gene expression via direct sensing of S-adenosylmethionine (SAM or AdoMet). SAM-IV riboswitches share conserved nucleotide positions with the previously described SAM-I riboswitches sequence analysis and molecular recognition experiments suggest that SAM-I and SAM-IV riboswitches share similar ligand binding sites, but have different scaffolds. Lineage: Bacteria; Bacillati; Actinomycetota; Thermoleophilia; Solirubrobacterales; Conexibacteraceae. The record is from RNAcentral. RNAcentral also lists the same sequence under 1 other name.